This is a long non-coding RNA of Bactrocera neohumeralis, 509 nucleotides long. RefSeq lists it as uncharacterized. The transcript has 2 exons. Lineage: Eukaryota; Metazoa; Arthropoda; Insecta; Diptera; Tephritidae. The record is from RefSeq and is a predicted model, not a curated record.
UUCACUCAUUUCUGUUAAAAUUUCUCCUGCCGAGCCAAAAGUGGUGAAAUCCACUAAUAGAAAAUUCAUGGCUCUUGACAGUUUACACGCUUGUCCGUAGUUGAACCUUCUCUAUAUAAGAGUCUUAUCACACGAAGCAACUUUUGUUGCGGCAACUCUUGGUUUAUAGGCGAGGGGGCGACGAGGAGAGGGGAAUCGCGCCGAGUUUCCAGUGUUCAGCAACUCGCUUUGUGUUCUUAUUCGUAGCAGUUCGCUGCGACGUUUUUCGGCAUUCGUGUUCUUUCUUUCGUAGUACAUAGUUGCAUUUGCGUAUAUUUUUUUGAAAUUAAUAUUUUGAAUAUAUUUAAAAAAUUUAAUUUCAUCUUUUGAAAAUGGAGUAUGACGAAAAAAUCGAAUUAAUUAAAGAUAUUGUGAAAUGUAUGGAGGAAGCCAUACAAAUUGAUUCAGACGAUAGUAAAAAGGGUGAUAUAUCUUUGUUUUAAUAAAUAAAAUGUAUUUCUUAAUUGACA